UUCUCCUUCUCCUCACUCACUCCUGGUAGCUGCCCCCCCCUGACUACAGUCAUGGUCAAGGCUGCUGAGUGAGUCUGCUUGUUUACCGUCCUGAUGAUUUCUCCGGUUUCUGGAGCUCCAACUGUGUCUCCACAUGGGUCUGUACCUGACCUGUAACAGAGGAGACAGGAUUAAUGGAGGCCAUGAGCAACGGUUACUUGCUAACACGCUCACCUUCUCUGUCUCCAGGCAACUGAAAAGGUGAGUUGAAUGUGCAGCGCUGGGUUUGACUUGAUGGGAUUGUUUGAGAUGUUUAGGACGAAAGUUUAAAAUAGUUGAAGAAGAAGAAGAAGAAGAAGAAGAGCUGGGUGCAUAAAGAGAAUCCAGGUGGAUCACAUGCCCACAUUUUUAGGCUCAAAUGGAUGUAAAACUAUUUCCAUUUCCAUCUGUUUCUUUCUCUAAACCUUAAACUGUGGGAAAUAAAUCACAGAUUAGCGCGCCUUUCCUAGAAAUCGCUCAUUUUUAUCUUUUUUAGUUGCUCCUGUUCCUUUGAUCGCUCCGGCUACAGGCGCUUUCCAUCAGUCAGUCCCAUUUUGGUCUAAUCAGCUUCUCAGGAACACCUAGAGGGAACAUCUUUACAUUUGACUCAAGUCCAUCACCUCAGGGCGAGGAUAUUAGAUUAUGGAGGCCAAAGGUCAGGGUCAGAGUGACUCUACUUCUGUCCGUUUCUCUGUGAGCUAUGUGAGUUUCACUGCACCCCUUUUUUUUAUUCAUAGAGAAUCUGUGAUGUUUCUGCCAUCAUGAUACAUUCAUGACAAUCACAUGGUCUACAGAGACAGAGAGGGACAUCCAGAGGGAGAUAAACAGUUGUAAAGGGUUUAUUCUAGUUUUUACAUUUAUUUGAAAUCAUCUCUUGAGGCGAAGUUUAACUCUUUACUGUUUAAUGUUACAGGCAGGAGAAGGUUCAUCUGAACAUGACAUGCGUUGAUGUAUUGUUCAGUUAUGUGAAGGUUGUGUGGCUUUGAAGACUUAUGGGGCAUUCACAUUAAGCGUGAGUAAAAUUGUCUACUCACUUAAUUCACGUGAAUCUACACAAAUGAAUGAAUUUACUUGCUUCAUUCCAGCGUCAACGGUAAUUUCAACGGUAAUCCCUGUGAAUUCAACCGGGCGGGAUCAAGUGAUAGACACAGGUUUUCUACAAUUUACCAGGUAAUCCGACUUCCUCAUACACUUGCCUCCAGGCGAGCUCCUUUUUACUACGGUUUCGGUAAUCGAAAGAAAAGGUAUCAUGUAAUUCAGGGCACCCACACACCGACACGAUCAGUUUGUCUUCCAUUUUAGAUACCAUUGAACAACCGUCUGUUUUCAAACGUCACCCAGCAGCCUUCGUGCUUAUUAGUCAUCCCGACAUGAAUAUCCGCUGAAGUUGAGAUAGUUGCAGCGUCAUUCCCAUCACCAGAGUAGUAGGAGCGUCUAAUCGCGUCUUUAUAUUGACUUAACAUGUAAUUCAUUCACACAAAUGAUUUUACUCGUGCUUGGUGUGUGGAGACAGUUACUGUCCAGAAACGACCAACUCCAGCAGGGUGAGACCAGUUGUCUGGGCUGACCUGAUAUGAAGUAGGACUCUGUCUGUGCUCGUGAAAUCAUUGCCAUAGGGAGAGGUUAGGUCUACACCAACAUGAGGAGAUAGAUGUGUAUGUUUAUAUAUAUUUUAUGUCUGACCAAAGCAGCUAAAAUAACCAGAAUCUAUCUAUAGAGAGACCCGUUCAUACACACUGCAAUCAUAUUUCAUUUGAUCACUCAGCUGUAUGAGAGACCAGUAGACUUCAUUGGGCGUGAUUAUGCUUGUGGCAGUGAUUUGGUAACUACUGUUAGCUAGCUUGCCCACUACAAGUGUCAACAAAGCUUUACUUAGAGCCAGGAUUGGAGCAUAUCUAGCAGACAGACAGAGAAAACAGUCCAAGGCAGAUAUUUUGGUGCACUUAAGUUUUAUUUUGAUUUGGCCAAAAACUUCAGGGAUUUCUGUGUAAUUCUGUGUGUAAUGGCACAGUGUAUAUGGUGUAAAUCAUGCUGAUCUGGGCACGUGCCGCAAGUUUUCCAGUUUUGCUCAGUAUUUUGUUCCAAAUCAAGCAGCUGAUGCUUCGUUAUGACUUUGCCAAGACUCAUUUUAAUUACAGUUAUUUUCGGUGGUUGUUAUUCAGCGUCAGUUUUUCUGUCUUCAUACCUUUUGCCAGCAUUGCCAAGACAUUUUCAUUAAAUUCCCUCAUAGUUGGUCUUUUGACAGUCUUGAAAAUCUUUGGAGUACCCUGGGUUCACUAAAACUUUCUCAGUGCAGCUCUUUUUUUACACAGUUAUGUCUUUAUUAACACUUUAAAAGGUCAGCAGGACGAUGCUGUGAAACAGUUUUGAUCGAUAGAUCUGAGCUUUCCAGCGUCAAGUCUUACAGAUACAACAUAACUCUGUUUGACACCUACACAAGUGUUCAUUGUGUUUAGAAGAGGUAUUAUUCUUCGCUGCAGCUGAGUGUCGUUUGUCAGGAAAAGCUAAUAAAAGGAGAAUUGUCACUUCAGUUAUCAAAGAGGCAAAGUGAAAGAAACGUACUAUUGCAGCUUCUUUUUCAAGAGGUAAAAAAAAAAGGAUUUUCUUCCACUUUUACUAAACACCAAACAGACUCGACUUGUCUCUUCCUUUAGCAUGUUUUUGCGUUUGUUUCCAAAUUUUCUGAAAACCUUUUUAAUAUUUCUUAAUUCUCAGGUGUGAAUCUUUUCAAAGUUUUUAAAAAAUAAGAUUCAUAAUUCACCCUCUGCUGCUGUAACGACUUCAGUACAUGAGAGACAAACUCCCUGUUUUCCAUAAAUGCUAAUACGGCAGUAAAAAUUUGUGAUGAGUCUGGAAAUAUUCGGUUGACUCCGAGGUCAGGAAACAAACUCGGCGCACAAGACAUGGUGAAAUAAUAAUUAUAGAAAGCAAGCCUUGUUUGAGUUUGUGAGGCUGUCAGUCAGCAGCUGUGACAGCGAGGCAUUGUUUCAUCUUUAUCAAUUCACAACAGUCCUCCUUGUGAAUUAUUUUUGUUUUUUUUCUGAAAUAAUUACAACAGAAUAAGCCAAAAAAGAGGGAGAAAUCAUUUCAGAAGUAAUCAAACUCAUGAGCACUGCGUAAAACUAUUUUUAGGCUCCAUUAAAUAGGGUUACAAAACAAGCUCGUCCUGAGUCCAGCUCCCAAGGUUAUCCUCACUCAUGUAUCAGCCAAUCAAAUGUGCAAACUUGCAUAUGUAUGCUUCUUAAACUCCUCUCAAACUGAAGGAUUUGCAGAGCCUGACAGUCUCAAUUUAGGGCGAGAGUGACCCAUUUAAGAAAACUUUGAUAUUUUCAAAGAAAACGCAUGAAUAAAAGAGUUUAAAGCUCUAGUGUGGAUAACCGCUGAGUUUUUCUCUUCUCACUCACACAAAACAUUGUCCAUACAGCUGUGGGGAUCUUCAGCCUAUGUACACACACACACACACACAGAUCAAAUAGUUACAGUCAGUCACAGAGCGGGGACCAGCAUGACAUGAGCAAUUAUAAUCUUCCAAAAAUACAUCUCCCUCUUUACACAAUCCCUGUUCAAGCUAAUAGACUCUGUGGUCGAGGAUUUAUGUUCAAAUCGCUGGAGGAAAAGAAGCAAGAGAGGGGACAGUGAGCGAGCGAGCGAGAGAGAGAGAGAGAGAGAGGUUAAACUUAAACACGCCUGUUUAGUUUCUAAUCCUGAGGAAGCAGUCAUACAGUCUCUGUUUUACUGUCUUACGGUUACACUCAACUGCUUUGGUAACCAUCAAAUAACAGAAAUCUACACUUUGAGCAGGUAUUUGUUGUUUACACGCAAAAAAAGUCCAUCUCAUUGACCUCAUCUCUGUAUAUUUUUGGUUGAAGCCAGAUAUUGGGAAACAAAGACAAACUUAAAUGAUCCUCUGUUACUCUGACAAAAGAUUUUAAGAUCCUCCGUUAACAUAAAAAAUUGUGGGAACUUUCUCUCUGAAGAAAUGACUCAGUCACUGACAAUGAGCUGGUUUUCGUGGUCUGUUUUUAUUAUUGGGCUUUUUGCCCUUUUUUGGGAAAUGACUCUUCAGCGCUGAGAGCUUCGAAAUGUUUUAGAAAUGAGCUCAAGCAACCCGAGAUGAACUCCGUUCAAAAUAAAGAGUCAUUACGUGGUCACGGACAGUUAAACACAUCUAAUCGUACCUGUUGACUUUAAUCUGCCGUAAAUCAAUCUAACAUUAGUCUGUAGUCAUCCGUAAUAAUUCAUCAGUACGUGCUGUUGUUCGUCUCUGACUGUCUAACAUGAGUCUGGUUCUGCUCAGGGUUUCUGCCUGUUUGCUCUUCCUACUGUAACUUGCUAAAUCUUCCCCAGCGUUACACUCAUGGUAGAGAAAGAUCAGAUCAGGGUGGGUCUGAUCUUAAAAGUUGAGACUCUGCUUUAUCCCAUCUUGCUGUGUGGUCUUCUGAAGAGUUUGGUCUGGUCCAGGUUUUCUUGUAAAGCAUCAGAUGUUCACCAGUCUUCCCUGAGAUCUCAUAAACCACCUUUAAUUUCAGAAGAGUAAGCGAUACUCAUGCCUCAUCUGGUUGCCAGGUGAAAUAUUUCGGUGUAAAAAUGUAGAAAAUGAGGGAUUAAACAUUUUGCAAUAAGCUAUAAAGAGAGACGAGGUUUGAGACUGAGACGGGGCUCAUGAGGACAUGUGGAAGAGAAAGGAGCUCAAAGAUGACAAGAGAAUGAAAGAUGAAGAUUAGUGGCAAGAAAAGGAAAUUGCACCAUGUUUGUAUUUCUUUGUGUUAUGCAGUUAGAGCGCUCAUCGAUCAUCUCUUUGUUUUUAUUACGAGGAAUAAUGAAUCACCGCCUGGUUUUAAUUUGACGGCAGGUUUUGAAAUUAUGAAAUACCUCAGCCUCUUUAACUGGCAUUUAAUAUCAUCUCUCAUUCCUCCCCUGGCAACUUUAAACAAGGUGUUUGCAAUAAAACCAUCACAUUCAGUUUUAUUCCUCUCUUCAAAACCUCCUCACUGCCAUCAGACGUCUAUGGAUAGAGUUUUAAAAUUGAGCUAAACUGACAAUCUGAUGACACCAGCCCUUUUUACAUUUCCAGUUCAUGUAGUGAUAUUUACACUCCUCAAAACACUGCUGCACCACUAGUAUCACUACUCACUUGCUCUGCUGCCAUUGCCUGGAUUGCAGGACAGGACCUUCAUGCUGCUUUUACAUCUGCAACUACUAACUGUUGUCAAGACCAGCCUGAGACAAAAACUAACAUUUCGCCACAGUGUCAACAGGCUGCGGUGAAAUAAGCUCCUUUCUAUGGUUUAAUUUGUGAUCACAUACAGUGCCCAGCAUGAGUCAGUACACUCUCUAUUAAAAGUAAUGUAUUUCUCAAGAUCUAGAUGAGCAAAAGUACAAUUUCCAAAGUUUUGACAAAGCUGAGUUUGACAACAUUUUAUUAACCAUAAGAUGAAACUAAAGGUGAUAUAGUAACUAAAAUUUAGCUUUGCUCCCAGAACUUUGAUUGGAGUGUACUCAUUUUUGCAGGAUUUUAAAUUGCAAGAAAUACUUUUUUUGUAUGCAACUUAAAAGAUCUUGUUUGCAAUCAAUGGCCUUAAUUUGGGGGAGUAUUUUGCAGUAUCGUCUGACAUAGAAAAUGUUGAUUUCGAAAGGAAACUAAAGGUUUUCUGACAACUCUGAAGGGGUGUACUCAUUUAUGCUGCGCUCUGUAUGUGAUCAGGUUUGCCCCUGGCUAGCAGUCGCAGAUAAACUGAUAGUUUCCAUCCCUAAAACUGCCAUAAUGGAUCACGGAUCAGGGUCUAAUAAGGCCUUUAAAUGGGAUUUUACAAAUAUACAUGCAAUGAGAAAAAGAAGAAUUAGCUGAGGUUCAUUUUGACUAAAUUAAUAAACAACUAAAAUGGAAACUUAGUUAUUGGUGGACAUAGGGAGGCCAUAUUCUCAAACACAUUCACACUCAACCCUUUCUGCCAAUGUCAUUGUAAUGUCCCCCAAGGUCAUAUAGUUAACUCUGGUCUCUUUCUCCUCACUAUUUUGUCUCUUGCAUGGACAGAGCUAAGAUUAUACAUAUUUAUCCUCUGAUUCUGAGUUUCUACCUCAUUGUUGGUCACCCCGGAGUUAUCUAAGAGGAUUUUAGAUGGUCCUCAUGGCAUUUGUUCAGUGCUGCUGAUAGUCCAGGUGGCCGGCUUAGCUCUGGCCUGAUUCCGUUGAUUCGAGAUCGCUGGUGGUGCCAUAAGUUGAUCUUCUAGUGACUAAGUGCCAUGUGCUGGCAUGUAGACGUGGUGGACAGACUCUCUCCAAAAGCCUGUUUAUCCUCCGAAAGACUCGGAUAGAGCAGGAAGAAUAGAGGACACUCUCUCUUAUCGGGUCACGACUCUUCUUCAAACGUUACCCUCUUACUUCUCUCGACACCUAUCUUCUCUGUACACGUUUUUGUUUUUUCAUUAAGUCACUUUUCAAACAACGGUCACCAGCCGAGGUUAAAACUUUUCUCCUUUUUUUCUAGACAGUUGGAUCGCCUGUCUUAUAUCCAGCAUGUAUUAGGGUCACAUGACCAGCCAUGGUUUGGAGAGCGAUUGAGGGAUGAGAGGAAAAGUUAAACAUGGAUAAAGGAGUUUAAAAGGAUAAAGAGAGGGAGAGGAUAAGAAUUAGUUGUUGUUUUCUCCAUGGAUGAUGUGGUUUGUACUGAGUCUGUCAGUGUGUGUCUGUGCAUGUUUUGUGUUUUUGAGCGGCUGUAGAUGUUUCCUAAAGGUCACAAAAUGAUCAAUCCACGGGAAAACGUGUUUAAAACAACAUAUAUGUAGAGUAGAAUCUGGUUAGUGCAGUUAAGUGACAAAUUUAGUGGUUACACUGACCAGCACAGGCUACUUCUGUUCUGUUUGCUCAGAUGCUGCUGCCUCCUGACUUCAUCAGCUCAGUUGUUGGCCGUCUUCGCUGUCACACACUCGGCUGUCCUCCUUUGGCAGAUUUCUUAAAAUCACAGCAACCUCUCAGAAUCAUGAUCGCAGAGCCUUUAAUCACUCGUACUGUAGAGGGUUCGAACAGUAAACAAUUCGCAGUUAGCUUAUGGAAACAAAAGUAAACUUCAUUUUUCUAAAUUAACAUCUGUCAUUUUAAGAAAAGGAGGAAUAAUUACAGAGAUAUUCUUAAAGGGGAACUAUUCUGCUGAUUUGUAAUAUGUGUUGCAAUGUGGGGGUGCUUGAAAUGAGGUACACAGUCUUGUUUCUAGACAUGGCCAUAAUCUUACGACAUGUUAUGCUAUCAUACCAGGAUGAUACCAACAGACCAAGCCUACCUUGCAGCUCUGUCAAAGAAACACCUACCUGUUAGCUGGAAAGUCCAUUUCACUGCUUGGCCUUUUACUCCAAUCUCACAUUGUCUUCCAAUUAUGCCUUUACACUUCACCAAAUGUGUCAAAUCUAUCUUCCUCUCUCUAAUACAUUUCUAAUCUAACAUAUUUUUUCCUCCUCGUAGGAUAAUAAUAGAUGUGAUUAGCCUGAUGUCCGUGCUAAUUAAACGAGGAAGACUGCACUACAUGCACAGAGAGAUCUUGAGAGGUGUGAAGUAACAGCUGCAAGUAGUAAGUUUGUUUGUGUUUUACAUUAAUGUGACAAGACGAGCAGAUAUAAGUCUGAUCUGUUUUCUAUCUUCCAUCUCUCUGCGUAAACAGCGUGAUUGUAGGCCUGCUGUAGUUCUUUCAGUCUGAAACGUGAUCACAACAUGCACUUAUUAGAGUUAAUUAAAGCAGCUCUGUCAUGAAACUUAACCUGGAUCUGUGUGUUAGUGACUGAAUCAGAGGCUCCAGGUUGUUCUGCAGUCAUUUUUGCUCAUUCAAAGAUAAGCUAUUCAACUUUAACAUCAGUAAAAUCAGGCUAACCUCACAUUCUCUGUCCGUGAUCGCCCGCCCUGCUCUGCUGCUCAGUUUGUAUUUACAUAAAGAACUAAUACAGCCCUUACCCACUGUCUUUAAUAGUGUAUUAAUACUAUUUUUAAAGCCAAGUACUCAGCUCACAAUAAGCUACGAAUGAGGAAAUGAUUGCAAUACAUUUCAAAUAUAUUAAAAAAAAAAAAAAAAAAAAAAAAACAAUCAGAAAUAUUGAUUAUUUAUUGUUGUUUAUUGUUUAUUAGGAUCUACAUCAGCUUUUGUCAAGACAAAGCUAGUCUUCAUGGGGUCCAACACAGAAAAUAAAACAUUACAUAAACAUUCAUCCAUGAUUAUACAAUCACGUCAUCUACAAAGCAAAUAAUUAAAAAAGGUGAAAAAGGGUGUUACAAAGAAAUAACAGAAGGAAUCAAUUUGAAAUAAGGCAGGAUCAUAUACAAUACAUGAGUUUAGUGCCUCUGUGGAUUAGUACAGGCUUAAUCUCAUCAAGUGUUGUUUUAAGUUUGAGGAUAAGGAUAACCAGAUUUCUCUAUGUGCGUGUAAACAACGGAUCCAGAAUAUGAUCAAAACUGGGAUUAGGCUUGUAAACGGGAUAUUCAAAUUCAUGUAAACACCAAGAAUGAACCCAACCUCCAUGUUGAAGCUGAGGUACAUACCGAGCCGCACCUUAAAACAGAUGCAAGUUGAAGAUAAAUAAGGAGCUUUUUUGAGGAAUCAACAGGUCAGAAGUUUUUAGAGGUUCUCAUGGAUGUAGAAAAAAACGCUGACUCUGUAUUUAACGCUGGAAAUCCUUGGUCUCGUGGCCCCAGCUGUUUGGCGCUGCUGCUUCGUGCUCGGUUCUGAAAAUGAAGCUGAGCUGGAUCAGACCAAACCAAACAUGAAUCUGAUGGGAUCCUGGUGAAGGCUCAUUUAUACAGAUGGAGCUCUCUGUCCGUGCUUCACGUUCUUUUCCUCCGUAUUUCUGCAGGUAUCCUUGAAGUUUAUGGAUACGGACCAAAUGAAGCAGUACCACCGGAAACCGUGGGGGCGGUGUUGCUGCUGUCACUACCUGAUACACAUCUCUAGAGAGAAAGGAAGAAGACAAUGGUGGGGCUUUUUAAGGAUCGUCGUCAAUUUUUGUCAUCCGUACUUCUCGAGAAAAGAAUUCUCCGUCCUCUAACCGCAAGGCAUCUAGUGGCCUGACCAACCACCGUCUCCUCCAACACUGCCUCUGUUUCUGUCUCCUUUGCAAAAUUUACAUUAGCGUUAGCUCCUACACAGUCGCCAUUUUUCAUUUUGUUUGUCGUUGUCAGAAACUUUUGACUCCGGCCUGCCACCUGGUCAAUGGAAUGGAUCACAUCCAUGCCAACGUAAAGGGACGCAUGGAAGUGUGUGAGCAGUGACAGAACCAUUGCUUCAAACGAACGCGUACAUUUUCACACAUAUGGCGUGCAUAAAUGAGCCUUAAGACUGGUGCGAUCUGAUCAGUAAGAGGGACCGACUGCGAACCAAACCACACAUCUACCUCUACAUAUUCACCCUUAUGCUGCAGCCAGUUACCAAGAGGAGCUCAAAAGGUUCUGGCGUCUCUCAGGAUGGUUUCCACGAUUGUUUUCAAAUCUGAACUCUGACCUCUUUCUUCUUUUCCUUGAGGGAUGAGAUUUGAUCUCAGUAAGAAUAAUGAGAUCCCAUAUAAACCAGGUGUCAAUUCAAAGGCAGGAUUAGAUAGUUUACUGGGAUAACAACCGGGUACAGAUGGCAUUUUAAUACCAGGUUUUAAUGGGAUGUAACUCAGCUUGUGUUUGUUGAUGUUAUUUGGUCUUUUGUAUUAAAACCAAAAAUAGGACAAGGUGAAGCUCCGACGAUUUCAGUGUUUUUAUGAAAGAAGAAAGAGAGCAAAACACGGACUGCCCAAUUAAGAGGAAAAUAACAGCCUACAAUGUCCUUGUGUCCUUUUGUUAUUCUGUGAUUCACUGUGAGCUACCGGUUCAUAAACAGAGCCGUAUUAAUGAACAUGACCCAAAAAGAAAGCUGUUUUUUUUUUGUUUUCGAGAUUUACGCUGGAGUAUAUGAGAAGAAAAAAACAGCAGUUAUCAACUCUUUGUUCUGUAAUGCAGGAAUAAUAUCCUUUUAAUCAUUCUGUAGCCCGUUUGUACGGCCUUCAUAACACUGUGAUUCGUUGCAGAAAUAUAAACUAAAGUCGGUGUUGUAAGUUCUCGAUGUAAAGAGGGCUGGUGUGAAUGGUGAAACACUUCCUGUUAUAGUAUGACAUAAACAGGCAGUAAAUUAGGAAUAAAGUGGGACAAGACCCUGGUCAUGGGGAGAACUUUUUGGACCACUUCUUGCCCCAGAAUCACACGCUUGUGCACAAGUUUGCACCCGGACAUACACAACCACUCUGAUCACAUCAAGCUCACCCAUCUUGGAGGCCAAGCUAGUCUCCUGUCUUCUCCUCUGAGUCUUGAAGAGGAGCUGGAUGGUGGUCCUGAGGGGAGCGUUUCUCCUGCCUCUGCUGGAACUGCAUUCAGUUUUGACCUUUUUCAGGCCACAGAGCUGAGACAUGAAGAAGACCUAGAUGGUUUGAAUCUCCUCCUGAGCCUCUUCUCAGAUCCUUUUGGGGAUCUUCUUCCCUCACGGUCUCUGCCACUGAUCAUUGUCCCAGUUAGUUCUCCUAUACAGGGGUCAUCAUGCUCAGAGCUUGGUUGAGAAGAUCCAGCUGGAGCUUCUGCAGGUGAAGUUUGAUCUUCUCCGCCUCCUCACUUUGUGCAAACUGGCUCUUGUGGCUGGUGCUCUCAUCCUCAGUAGUGCAGGGUACAAUCUUUGGGAAGUUCUUUAGCAGCUUCGCACUGAGGUUGCUGAUGUUGGUUUUUGGGAUCCUAAACCUUCUUUUUUUGGACUAAUGUGCAUUUUUCUGGAGAUUCUUGAGCUGUCUAUCAGCUCUGAGGUGUCUCUGUCUUUGGUCUGUGUGCUCUGCUCCAACCACUUUACCUCCUGAGCUACUGCCACCUUGUUAUCAAAGUCCAAUACUGCAGUGAAACUUGACUGUAAUCGAGAGUUACAACUGCAGUUUUUUUACCACAUCCAUAUCAGCCUUAUUGCUCAAGACUAGAGGUUGCAUUUGGGAAUAACUGGUUCGAGUUAAAGCCCCUGUGAUUGGAUACUAUGACACCCCAUCGUCCAAUGAAUGAGUUGCUUAUUCUCCAUACAAGUGGAAAUUUGUGGAUGAACAAUCAAACCUGAAGGUCAAAAAUGGAUGAUUGAAUAAUUCACAGCAGUUGGCACAGCUACUAAGACAAAUCCUCAAGCUGAGUGGAUAUUGCAGUGCUGGAAGUCCCAGUGUCAACACCGAAAACCCGCCAUCUGCAGGAGACUGCAUGUGGGUGAGAACUGUGGCUGCUACUGAGCCAUGGCCGCCUAAUAUGACCGUCAUAUCUGCUGGUGGAGACACCUGGCUUGAUAGACAAGAAAAUAAACGAGCUGUUGUUGUACGACAAAGAUUUGUGCGUAUUUGUUGUAUCCCCGUCUCUCUCUUUCUGUCCGUUUGUUUGAAUAAGUGACAGAGAGAUCUGGACUAAACUGCUGCUUUGUUGGAACAUCCAAGUAUGACAAACAACAAAUAAGGGGAAAAAUAAUCAGUUUUCGAGGGACGAGCCGCGCCGUUGUGGAGAGAAAAGAUCAGGGCGUGUUUGAGGUGAGGUUGUCUUUUUUGUUGACACUCUUGAUGUGGAUCAGCUCUAAGCUCUGAAUGUGUGCUUUGGUUUGGAAAGACUGUGUGUUGAGGGGGUUCGGGUGAACUUUUGUAAAACCAGCAACAAAGCCUCUUCGCUUCAGCCAAACCACGUUUUACUGUGUGCUAUGAUGAAAGAAAAACUGGCAGUGGUUUGUCCUCAUGGAAACUGAUACAGAACUAAUCCACAGAGCCUGAAAGCAUUUGGAAAGGAGAGGACUCACUCCAUCGAGCUUUUUCAAUCCUGUUCAUCAGGACUCAACCACACACACACACACACACACAUAAAUACACCCAUGCACUCUCACAGCACACCGUCCCCAUGGAGAAACAUUUUACACUCCACAGUGGUGAGAGAAUUUCAAGCGUUAGACUUGUAACAAGCAUUUAAGAGCACUGAUGAUACUGAAAACUGUUUUUUUUUUAUAAUAGUCAACAGGGACUUAAUUAAUUUCCCAGAAUGUAGCGUCCAUCGCAGCUCUGCUUUGUGAGCCGGUCUGAAAUGCAAAUAAGCUAACAAGCAAAGUGUGACAUUAUUCUCUGUGUCAUUUCAUUUUAAGCUCUGCAGCAAUUGUGAUUUGUUCAUUAUUCACUUGAAAGAAUGUUGUAAUGUGAUAAAAGUCCAGCCAAAUUAUGGAGGAAAAACACGGCGGAGAGUCAAAGGAGCCUUUUACUUUUAUAUUUAUGACACUUUUUUUUACCUUUUUACAAUAAAAUACGCAACAUUGAGCAGAAAAAUAGCUUCAUAAACGCUUUGACAUGGUAUGUAAAUCCUACAUGAUUCUCAACACACCAUUACUGCCCUUUUAAUGCUGAUUAUAGCCUGUAACAUGUCAAACCUGGUGGAAAUGAAAGUGCUCACUCUGGUCUGAAAUGAGAGUUCUCCACCUUGCCCAGUUUUGUAUUUACGCCUUCACAUUUGUGAACAUCUCACAGGCUCUCAUCCCAAACACUCGGUCUUGACACACGAACAGAGCGGAGCAGGGACAGAGUCCAGCAGACAGAGGGAACGUAAACAGGCCUGACAGGUACAUUAACAACUACUAGUGCCAUACAAACUUGACCUCGUUUGGUUCAAUAUGUCACUCCACAGUCAGCUGCACUUCUGUGCAACAGUGAAAUAGGUACACUUGGGUAUGCAGGC
Molecule: non-coding RNA, 12732 nt
Organism: Xyrichtys novacula (pearly razorfish)
Lineage: Eukaryota; Metazoa; Chordata; Actinopteri; Labriformes; Labridae
Source: the annotation of a GenBank genome assembly